RNAcentral lists this ribosomal RNA (393 nucleotides) under uncultured bacterium. RNAcentral's name for it is "bacterial SSU rRNA". It matches the Rfam family "Bacterial small subunit ribosomal RNA", at positions 30 to 424 of the family's 1533-position model. The record is from RNAcentral.
AUUGAACGCUGGCGGCAUGCCUUACACAUGCAAGUCGAACGGCAGCACGGGAGCAAUCCUGGUGGCGAGUGGCGAACGGGUGAGUAAUAUAUCGGAACGUGCCCAGUCGUGGGGAUAACGUAGCGAAAGCUACGCUAAUACCGCAUACGAUCUAUGGAUGAAAGCGGGGGAUCGCAAGACCUCGCGCGAUUGGAGCGGCCGAUAUCAGAUUAGGUAGUUGGUGAGGUAAAGGCUCACCAAGCCGACGAUCUGUAGCUGGUCUGAGAGGACGACCAGCCACACUGGGACUGAGACACGGCCCAGACUCCUACGGGAGGCAGCAGUGGGGGAAUUUUGGACAAUGGCGCAAGCCUGAUCCAGCAAUGCCGCGUGCAGGAUGAAGGCCUUCGGGUU